GUGCUGUCGCGCUUCUGGGUCAAAUCUGAGGCAGGUCCUGUUUCCGUGAGAGUUUUCGGUUUUGCUGAGGGUGGUAUUGUAAAGGCCUGCCUUCCCCACAUGAAUUCUCAGUAACUUUGAAGAGCAAAGUGAGAAGAGGGCAGUGUUACACUGGGAGAAACCACUUGGAGAUGUGCCAGAUUUCCCCACGUCUCCUGGUAUUAGUUCCUGGUUUGUUCCUUAAUGUGAAUGAAAACCAUUUUGAGCAGACGGAAGAGCAAUACCGGAAGGCUGGGAUUCUGAGUUUCACCUAGAACGGAGAAGCCAGGACUUGGGAUUUUCCCCUCAGUCACCAUGCUGUGCUGAUGUGAGGAGCUCUGCUCUUUUGUAUCUUCAGAAGUCUGCCAGCCCACCCUGCAAAUUUGGAUUUGCCAGCCUUCAUACUCAGGUUAUCAGAUGUCCUCUUGGUGCAAUCCUGCCCUGGGAGCUUAUGUGCCAGCUAAUUGCUUCUGAAUUCUGUGCUCACGGUUUCCUUCACCCAUCUGGAGCAUCUUGUGGGAGUACACAAACAAAGACCCUGGCUUCCCAGCAAGACUGUCAACUCACCCUCUGGUGAGAGGUCACAAACUGGCCACCCGAGGGUGAAUCUGGCUCCCAGAUGCCUUUCAUUUACCGAGUGUAGUGUUUGAGCUUGCUCAGCCAUAUUAUUGCUUUGAAAUCUGGCUACUCAUGAAAAUCAAUUGGGAAGCUUUUAAUAUUCAUGCCUGAGACCUGUACCGACUGAAUCAGUCGGAAAUAGGACCUGGCUCUCUGAAUAUGUUUCAAGCUCUCCAAGCGAUUUUCAUGCUAACCACAGUUGAGGAGCACUGCAAUCUAUAUUUAGUGACUGAAAGCAUCGUCAAGAAGGAGCUUUGAACUAAGCAACAGGGUAAAACUGGGAAAUCUAGAGAUGGAGAAAGGAGCAGAAGCCACCCUGGGCCAGACUAAUAAUGGGUGAAUAACCCCAUGGAUCAUAUGGAAGAGUCAAAGGGCAAAGCCGGGUGUUGUUCAGGCCAGGUACUCAGAGGCAACCUUUUAAAGGUAAGAACAGUCAACAAAUCUAGAAUUUCUCUGAGGGCAGCUUAUAGUGCCAAGGUAAAUAUGGUCAAAUCUCUACCAUUUGGAGGCAGCACCCAGAGGGAAAGAUCCCAGGGCCAAGCAAAAUAGAGUAGGAUGUUUAUUGAAGGUGACCAAAAGGAUAGAAAACCAGAAUUAGGGAGCAGAGACAAGAUAAGAAUCCAAAGGGUAAGAAAAAAGCCCCAAAAGGCAAGGAAGCCCCAAGUGACUCCACAAAGUAGUUCGGGACUGAGGCACGAAUGAUGCGAGUUUGUUAGUGCCCUCCAUUACCAAGUCCUUGUGGGUGUUCUAGGAAUUGUUGCAGGUUAAAACAGCACAAUUCAUGAAAACCACCUCGAAGCAGAAUCAAGGCAACAGAUGUGGUGCAGUGGGUCAGUAUCAGCAGCAACAAAGAUGAACACAACUUGUGUUCCCGUCAGGGGCCUUGGUCUUCUGAAGGGGCAGUGAGACUUGUGUAUUGGGUGUUAGGAGUGGCAGUUAAUCAGGACCACAUAGCAUAAGAGACAAGUAUUUGACUUAGUGCAUAAUGGAGCUAAAUGGUGCAUCAGAAGGACAAUCAUUCCAUUGGAAUCACUGUACCCAGGAAGACUUUGGCAACACCAUGGAGUUCUUUCUGUGAAGAAUAAAUGGGACCUGAGUGAUUAGUUAGUAUUGUUAUUGUUAUGUGGCCGUGUUAGUUAUCUUCUGCAGCCAAAUAAAUUACCCUAAAACUUUGCAA
Herpailurus yagouaroundi (jaguarundi) is the source of this 1813-nucleotide long non-coding RNA. RefSeq lists it as uncharacterized. The record is from RefSeq and is a predicted model, not a curated record. NCBI's taxonomy places the organism in Eukaryota, Metazoa, Chordata, Mammalia, Carnivora, Felidae. The transcript is spliced from 6 exons.